This 68-nucleotide transfer RNA is filed under the name Longpotamon xiushuiense. RNAcentral's name for it is "tRNA-Leu". Lineage: Eukaryota; Metazoa; Arthropoda; Malacostraca; Decapoda; Potamidae. The record is from RNAcentral.
UGUUAUUUUGGCAGAUAAGAUGCAUUAAAUUUAGGAUUUAAUUAUAUAGAAAACUCUAUAAAUAGUAG